This 253-nucleotide ribosomal RNA is filed under the name uncultured bacterium. RNAcentral describes it as "partial 16S ribosomal RNA". It matches the Rfam family "Bacterial small subunit ribosomal RNA", at positions 524 to 776 of the family's 1533-position model. The record is from RNAcentral.
UACGUAGGUCCCGAGCGUUAUCCGGAGUUACUGGGCGUAAAGUGUUCGUAGCCUGAUAUGUAAGUCCGUUUUCAAAUAUCUCGGCUCAACCGAGAAAAGGGAAUGGAUACUGUAUAUCUGGAGGUCUUUGGGGGUUAGUGGAAUUUCCAGUGGAGCGGUGAAAUGCGUUGAUAUUGGAAGGAAUGCCAAAAGCGAAAGCAGCUAACUACAAAGAACCUGACGGUGAGGAACGAAAGCUUGGGGAGCAAACGGG